GAUGAACGCUGGCGGCGUGCCUAAUACAUGCAAGUCGAGCGAACGGACGAGAAGCUUGCUUCUCUGAUGUUAGCGGCGGACGGGUGAGUAACACGUGGAUAACCUACCUAUAAGACUGGGAUAACUUCGGGAAACCGGAGCUAAUACCGGAUAAUAUUUUGAACCGCAUGGUUCAAAAGUGAAAGACGGUCUUGCUGUCACUUAUAGAUGGAUCCGCGCUGCAUUAGCUAGUUGGUAAGGUAACGGCUUACCAAGGCAACGAUGCAUAGCCGACCUGAGAGGGGGAACUGGCCCCAGGAGAACAGAAAUCGGCUCCGACCCCAGCGGGGGGGCAGGAGGAGGAAUUGUGCCUAAAGGGGGGAAACCAUGACGUAGCAACGCCGCGGGAGUGAUAAAGGGCUUCGGUGCGAAAAACCUUUUAUUUAGGGAAAAAAAGAUUUGAAAGGAAUUUUGCAAUUCUGGACGGAACCGAACAAAAAACCCGCGGUAAACUGCGU
RNAcentral lists this ribosomal RNA (497 nucleotides) under uncultured bacterium. RNAcentral's name for it is "partial 16S ribosomal RNA". It matches the Rfam family "Bacterial small subunit ribosomal RNA", at positions 28 to 506 of the family's 1533-position model. The record is from RNAcentral.